RNAcentral lists this ribosomal RNA (429 nucleotides) under uncultured bacterium. Its description in RNAcentral is "bacterial SSU rRNA". It matches the Rfam family "Bacterial small subunit ribosomal RNA", at positions 355 to 776 of the family's 1533-position model. The record is from RNAcentral.
UGGGGAAUAUUGGACAAUGGGCGCAAGCCUGAUCCAGCAAUGCCAUGUGUGUGAAGAAGGCCUUCGGGUUGUAAAGCACUUUAGUUGGGGAGGAAGGCUCUAAGGUUAAUAGUCUUAGAGAUUGACGUUACCCAAAGAAUAAGCACCGGCAAACUCCGUGCCAGCAGCCGCGGUAAUACGGAGGGUGCAAGCGUUAGUCGGAAUUACUGGGCGUAAAGCGCACGUAGGUGGCCUGUUAAGUCAGGUGUGAAAACCCUGGGCUCAACCUGGGAAUUGCAUUUGAUACUGGCGGGCUAGAGUAUAGUAGAGGGAAGGGGAAUUUCUGGUGUAGCGGUGAAAUGCGUAGAUAUCAGAAGGAACAUCAGUGGCGAAGGCGCCUUCCUGGAUUAAUACUGACACUCAGGUGCGACAGCGUGGGGAGCAAACAGG